Eptesicus fuscus (big brown bat) is the source of this 581-nucleotide long non-coding RNA. RefSeq lists it as uncharacterized. Lineage: Eukaryota; Metazoa; Chordata; Mammalia; Chiroptera; Vespertilionidae. The transcript is spliced from 3 exons. The record is from RefSeq and is a predicted model, not a curated record.
GGGAAGGUAGGAAGCUCUGCUGUUUCCCACAGGACAAAUCCAGCCAGCCCACCUUCUGACAGGCGCUCCUCCCUUGGUGUGUCCCUCCGGCACAGGGCUCAUCAAAAUCAAUGAUGAUUGUUUGAGCUGCAUCCAUCUUCCCUCCCAAGAUGGAGAGUUAUUUAAGGAUCCACGGACAAGUCAUUCACUCAACCAAUAUUUAUUAAACAUCAAUUCUGCAUGAGAUGCUAUGAGGCUGAGCGAGAAAUGAACUCCGCAUCCAGCCUUCUUCAACUCAACUCCGCUCCGUUUGGAAAGGAUGGAGGAGGUAGCCCUGAAAUGGGGUCACUGGGAAACCAAAGAAAUCCCCUUUGCCUUUAAGGGGCAGAAAGUCUGGCUGGAGAGACAAGAUUAAGAAAUGAGAAUUUGCAAAAGAAAUCAUUUUAAAAUCAAACAGAAUACAUAGGACUUGAACAAAGAAAGUCAGUGUAUCCGGGAGAAGUGAAAUUGUAAUCUCAACAUGCUGCUUAAGAAAGCAAGGAAGUCUGCAUCACUCCCUUUAAAAAUUAUUUCUAUGAAAAAUGUCAUACUGGAAAAAAUAA